GACGUAGGGGGCGAGCGUUAUUCGGAAUUAUUGGGCGUAAAGCGCUCGUAGGCGGGAUUGCAAGUCCGUGUUGAAAGACCUCGGCUCAACUGAGGGACCGGCUCGGAUACUGUGAUUCUUGAGGCAAUCAGAGGGUGAUGGAAUUCCCGGUGUAGCGGUGGAAUGCGCAGAUAUCAGGAGGAACACCGGUGGCGAAGGCGGGUCUCUGGGCCAUUACUGACGCUGAGGAGCGAAAGCGUGGGGAGCGAACAGG
RNAcentral lists this ribosomal RNA (253 nucleotides) under uncultured bacterium. RNAcentral describes it as "partial 16S ribosomal RNA". It matches the Rfam family "Bacterial small subunit ribosomal RNA", at positions 524 to 776 of the family's 1533-position model. The record is from RNAcentral.